This 73-nucleotide transfer RNA is filed under the name Candidatus Woesearchaeota archaeon. RNAcentral describes it as "tRNA-Cys". It matches the Rfam family "tRNA". From Rfam's summary of the family: Transfer RNA (tRNA) molecules are approximately 80 nucleotides in length. The record is from RNAcentral. Lineage: Archaea; Nanobdellati; Candidatus Woesearchaeota.
GGCGGUGUGGCCAAGCGGCUAAGGCGUUCGGCUGCAAUCCCGAUGAUCCUGGGUUCAAGUCCCAGCACCGCCU